GAUGAACGCUGGCGGCGUGCUUAACACAUGCAAGUCGAACGGUGAAGGCGGAGCUUGCUCUGCUGGAUCAAUGGCGAACGGGUGAGUAACACGUGAGCAAUCUGCCCCUGACUCUGGGAUAAGCGCUGGAAACGGCGUCUAAUACUGGAUACGAGCUGCGAAGGCAUCUUCAGCAGCUGGAAAGAACUUCGGUCAGGGAUGAGCUCGCGGCCUAUCAGCUUGUUGGUGAGGUAACGGCUCACCAAGGCGUCGACGGGUAGCCGGCCUGAGAGGGUGACCGGCCACACUGGGACUGAGACACGGCCCAGACUCCUACGGGAGGCAGCAGUGGGGAAUAUUGCACAAUGGGCGAAAGCCUGAUGCAGCAACGCCGCGUGAGGGACGACGGCCUUCGGGUUGUAAACCUCUUUUAGCAGGGAAGAAGCGAAAGUGACGGUACCUGCAGAAAAAGCGCCGGCUAACUACGUG
Molecule: ribosomal RNA, 468 nt
Filed under: uncultured bacterium
Lineage: Bacteria
Description: partial 16S ribosomal RNA
Rfam family: Bacterial small subunit ribosomal RNA
Source: RNAcentral